Molecule: ribosomal RNA, 404 nt
Filed under: Fusobacteriota bacterium
Lineage: Bacteria; Fusobacteriati; Fusobacteriota
Description: Fusobacteria bacterium partial 16S ribosomal RNA
Rfam family: Bacterial small subunit ribosomal RNA
Source: RNAcentral
UGGGGAAUAUUGCACAAUGGAGGGAACUCUGAUGCAGCGACGCCGCGUGAGUGAUGAAGGAAUUCGUUUCGUAAAACUCUGUUCUAUGGGAAGAAAAGGACUGUACCAUAGGAGAAAGCUCCGGCUAAAUACGUGCCAGCAGCCGCGGUAAUACGUAUGGAGCGAGCGUUGUCUGGAAUUAUUGGGCGUAAAGGGUGCGCAGGCGGCUUUACAAGUUGGGUGUGAAAUAUUGUGGCUCAACCACAAACGUGCAUCCAAGACUGCAAAGCUUGAGUUAAGGAGAGGUAAGUGGAAUUCCUGGUGUAGCGGUGAAAUGCGUAGAUAUCAGGAGGAAUACCGGUGGCGAAGGCGACUUACUGGACUUAAACUGACGCUCAGGCACGAAAGCGUGGGGAGCAAACAGG